Molecule: transfer RNA, 22 nt
Filed under: Callisaurus draconoides carmenensis
Lineage: Eukaryota; Metazoa; Chordata; Lepidosauria; Squamata; Phrynosomatidae
Description: partial tRNA-Lys
Source: RNAcentral
GNAAUUAACCACCCCUCAAUGA